UGCAGUCGAGCGGAAGGCCACUUCGGUGGUACUCGAGCGGCGAACGGGUGAGUAACACGUGAGUAAUCUGCCCUCCACUUUGGGAUAGCCACCGGAAACGGUGAUUAAUACCGGAUAUGACCUCGCAUCGCAUGAUGUGUGGUGGAAAGUUUUUCGGUGGGGGAUGUGCUCGCGGCCUAUCAGCUUGAUGGUGGGGUAAUGGCCUACCAUGGCUUCGACGGGUAGCCGGCCUGAGAGGGUGACCGGCCACACUGGGACUGAGACACGGCCCAGACUCCUACGGGAGGCAGCAGUGGGGAAUAUUGGACAAUGGGCGGAAGCCUGAUCCAGCAACGCCGCGUGAGGGAUGACGGCCUUCGGGUUGUAAACCUCUUUCAGCACAGACGAAGCGAAAGUGACGGUAUGUGCAGAAGAAGCACCGGCCAACUACGUGCCAGCAGCCGCGGUAAUACGUAGGGUGCGAGCGUUGUCCGGAAUUAUUGGGCGUAAAGGGCUCGUAGGCGGUUUGUCGCGUCGGGAGUGAAAACACACAGCUUAACUGUGUGCUGGCUUCCGAUACGGGCAGACUAGAGGUAUGCAGGGGAGAACGGAAUUCCUGGUGUAGCGGUGAAAUGCGCAGAUAUCAGGAGGAACACCGGUGGCGAAGGCGGUUCUCUGGGCAUUACCUGACGCUGAGGAGCGAAAGUGUGGGGAGCGAACAGGAUUAGAUACCCUGGUAGUCCACACCGUAAACGUUGGGCGCUAGGUGUGGGGCCUAUUCCAUGGGUUCCGUGCCGCAGCUAACGCAUUAAGCGCCCCGCCUGGGGAGUACGGCCGC
Molecule: ribosomal RNA, 817 nt
Filed under: Nocardioides sp. HCA2-15_Pa
Lineage: Bacteria; Bacillati; Actinomycetota; Actinomycetes; Propionibacteriales; Nocardioidaceae
Description: bacterial SSU rRNA
Rfam family: Bacterial small subunit ribosomal RNA
Source: RNAcentral